UACAGAGGAUGCAAGCGUUAUCCGGAAUGAUUGGGCGUAAAGCGUCUGUAGGUGGCUUUUUAAGUCCGCCGUCAAAUCCCAGGGCUCAACCCUGGACAGGCGGUGGAAACUACCAAGCUGGAGUACGGUAGGGGCAGAGGGAAUUUCCGGUGGAGCGGUGAAAUGCGUAGAGAUCCGGAAGAACACCGGUGGCGAAGGCGGCCUGCUGGGCAGUAGCUGACGCUGAGGCGCGACAGCGUGGGGAGCAAACAGG
RNAcentral lists this ribosomal RNA (253 nucleotides) under uncultured bacterium. RNAcentral describes it as "partial 16S ribosomal RNA". It matches the Rfam family "Bacterial small subunit ribosomal RNA", at positions 524 to 776 of the family's 1533-position model. The record is from RNAcentral.